RNAcentral lists this unclassified non-coding RNA (2209 nucleotides) under Hevea brasiliensis (rubber tree). The record is from RNAcentral. Lineage: Eukaryota; Viridiplantae; Streptophyta; Magnoliopsida; Malpighiales; Euphorbiaceae.
GAAACGUUUAUUAGGUUCAAAAUAUAAAGAAAACUCAUGCUUGUCAUAAAUCACAUUUUAUACUUAUUAUUGGCUUAAGAAUAAAAACACUUCAAAGCAUAUGUAGAAAUUCUGAUCAACAUAUUACAUAUUUUCUCACCUAUGAGGAGAAAAGAUUGAAAAUAAACUAAAAAAACUUUCAUCACUCCAAUGAGUUUUAACUCAAUAGUAUUGAAAUCAUUCCCAGAAGUGGCGAGUUUGGACAAGAAAAACUUUUACAACCUAUGAACCCAUCGUUCAAGUCGAAGUUGCUUCCGCAGAGGUCCAAUAUUUGGCCUAGUCUUCUGAGGACACCUCCAUUUUCCGGUGAUCUCAAUGGCAUCAGUCUGUUCCAAAUUAGUUCUUUCUGACAAUGCCUUUCUUUUGCUGGCUCCCUUUCCACAGUCUGAGGUUAUCCUUUUAUUUCUUGAACAUUCUGAUAAAAUCUUUUGAGGUUUGUGCACAGAAUUCUCAUCAUUUGCUGUACAUCAGUUCUUUGUCGUCACAAAACCACUUUCCAGAACUUCUUUUCCUUCAUUUUCUUUGUUAUUACUUUCACGAGUUGAUUUUCUAUUUAAAUCUCCAACAACUGGAACAAAAUCCAUAUUAGUGGCGGAUGAUACAAGAUCCACUCCCAUUUCAACCUUAGUUUUCAAGUUCUCUGUAAGAUCCUUCCUAAGAUUCAACUUUGUUGGAGAUGCCCUAUCAUUAUUUCUUGAAUUUGUAUUUCUCUGGUAUGUCAUAAAAUCAGAUGCUUGUAGGAAAUUUGGCUUCUGUUGCUGUUUAUACGGAGGACAUUCACCAUUCAAGCUUCCUUUCUCAAGAUUGUUGGUUGAACUUAUACGAUGAUUGGAAAAUAUCUUAUCUGCAAUGCUCUGCCUCCUUUCACAGCUCAAGUUAUCCUGAGUAGAUGAACUUCCAUUCCCAGAAGCCCUAAUGCCCUUAUUUAGAGACUGGUUUUUCUGCUCAUCACCUCUCAGGGAGUUGUUAGACUUCAAAAAUCCAUUUGAGAAUACUUUCUCAUCAAUAACAGCUUCAUCUGUGAUUCUGGUUUUUCCGAAUUUCCAUAAAUUCCUUUCUUUCUCUUUGUUGUUAUGUUGAUUGACCAAAUCCUCACAGUCAAAUUCUUUCUCAAUCAAUCCCUUGCUUUCUAGAGAUCCAUACACAUAACUAAAGAACCAGUUUCUAGUAUCUGGUGGCUCUGAUAGAAAAUAAAUAUAACACAAUUCAACUAGUAUCUGUAUGUAAACUAUAUUUCUUGCAUUCCUUAUUGAAAUGCUCAAAAAAUAAGGUGAGACAAAACAAAAAAUCAUAGAACAAUUUUUACAAUAGCUACUAACCAGAUAGAGUUGAAGGUGAAUCUGAAGAAUCUGGAAUCUCAUUUGAAGAUUUAUUGACAAGAGUGUCUUCAAAUGAAUUCUCACAAUUGACAAGCCCAUUUGAACACAGCUUUCCACCAGCAGGAUCUACUUCAUUACUGUUCCAAGAAUUCCUAGACUCAUGCUCAAAUUUGUCUUCCCUUUUUCUUUUACUUUAGAAGCAAAUUCCUCUUUCUCACACGCACUUUCUUUGGCAACUGAUUCUUUAACAUCAUCAGGUGAAUACAGUAAAGGAGAUUUAUACACAUAAGUAGAAAACCAGUUUUUGAUGUGAGGCUCUGACAGAAGAAAUAAAACAGUAGUUAUUAAAAUCUUAAAAUAGAUUCCCAUAUCUUUUCUAAUUAUAGGAAAAUCAAGAAAGGAGAAAACAAUAAGAUUGACAGCUUUGAGAAAUUCUGUCAGAUCAAUACAUUAUCCAAACAACGACCAAAAUUUCAAAAAAUCUAAAAGCUUCUGAAAGAAUUGGCCUAACCGGAAAGGCCUGAGAGCGAGCAUGUAGAAUCCGUCAUCCGACUCAAAGACUUGUCUUCAUGCUUAUCAUAAGUGUCACCGUUUCUUCUAGAUUCGCCCAAAUGUACUUCCUUUUCUCUGCUUCUCUCUCGACCAACAGAGAACCCAUCUCCCUCACACUUACUUCCUUUAAACUCAUAUGUCCAAUACAAAAAAUUCAUAUAUGUAACUAGGAAACCAAUUUCUUAUGUGGGGAGGUUCAGAAGGAAGCGAGAGCGGAUGAGGUGAAUCAGAUGGCUUUUCCAUCUGAUCUCUCCUUGACGCAAAAGAAUCUAUAACUUUUCAUUUUUUCUCUUCCGCAG